GAUGAACGCUGGCGGCGUGCCUAAUACAUGCAGGUCGAGCGAACAGACGAGGAGCUUGCUCCUCUGACGUUAGCGGCGGACGGGUGAGUAACACGUGGAUAACCUACCUAUAAGACUGGGAUAACUUCGGGAAACCGGAGCUAAUACCGGAUAAUAUAUUGAACCGCAUGGUUCAAUAGUGAAAGACGGUUUUGCUGUCACUUAUAGAUGGAUCCGCGCCGCAUUAGCUAGUUGGUAAGGUAACGGCUUACCAAGGCAACGAUGCGUAGCCGACCUGUGAGGGUGAUCGGCCACACUAGAACGGAGACACGGUCCAGACUCCUGCGGGAGGCAGCAGUAGGGAAUCUUCCGCAAUGGGCGAAAGCCUGACGGAGCAACGCCGCGUGAGUGAUGAAGGUCUUCGGAUCGUAAAACUCUGUUAUGAGGGAAGAACAAAUGUGUAAGGAACUAUGCACGUCUUGACGGUACCUAAUCAGAAAGCCACGGCUAACUACGUG
RNAcentral lists this ribosomal RNA (497 nucleotides) under uncultured bacterium. RNAcentral describes it as "partial 16S ribosomal RNA". It matches the Rfam family "Bacterial small subunit ribosomal RNA", at positions 28 to 507 of the family's 1533-position model. The record is from RNAcentral.